AUUGAACGCUGGCGGCAUGCCUUACACAUGCAAGUCGAACGGUAACGGGCCUUCGGGUGCCGACGAGUGGCGAACGGGUGAGUAAUACAUCGGAACGUGCCCGAUCGUGGGGGAUAACGAGGCGAAAGCUUCGCUAAUACCGCAUACGAUCUACGGAUGAAAGCAGGGGACCGCAAGGCCUUGCGCGGACGGAGCGGCCGAUGGCAGAUUAGGUAGUUGGUGGGAUAAAAGCUUACCAAGCCGACGAUCUGUAGCUGGUCUGAGAGGAUGAUCAGCCACACUGGGACUGAGACCCGGCCCAAACCCCUACGGGGGGCAGCAGGGGGGAAUUUUGGAAAAUGGGCGAAAGCCUGACCCAGCCAUGCCGCGUGAAGGAGGAAGGCCUUCGGGUUGUAAACUGCUUUUGUACGGAAAGAAAACCCUUUUUUUAAUAAAGGAGGGUCAGGACGGGACCGAAAAAAUAAGCCCCGGCUAACUACGG
Molecule: ribosomal RNA, 481 nt
Filed under: uncultured bacterium
Lineage: Bacteria
Description: partial 16S ribosomal RNA
Rfam family: Bacterial small subunit ribosomal RNA
Source: RNAcentral